GACGAACGCUGGCGGCGUGCCUAAUACAUGCAAGUCGAGCGAAGUUUUUCUGGUGCUUGCCCUAGAAAAACUUAGCGGCGAACGGGUGAGUAACACGUAAAGAACCUGCCUCAUAGACUGGGACAACUAUUGGAAACGAUAGCUAAUACCGGAUAACAGCAUUAACUGCAUGGUUGAUGUUUAAAAGUUGGUUUUGCUAACACUAUGAGAUGGCUUUGCGGUGCAUUAGCUAGUUGGUGGGGUAAAGGCCUACCAAGGCGACGAUGCAUAGCCGACCUGAGAGGGUGAUCGGCCACACUGGGACUGAGACACGGCCCAGACUCCUACGGGAGGCAGCAGUAGGGAAUCUUCCGCAAAGGGCGAAAGCCUGACGGAGCAACGCCGCGUGAGUGAAGAAGGAUUUCGGUUCGUAAAGCUCUGUUGUUAGGGAAGAAUGAUUGUGUAGUAACUAUACACAGUAGAGACGGUACCUAACCAGAAAGCCACGGCUAACUACGUG
This 499-nucleotide ribosomal RNA is filed under the name uncultured bacterium. Its description in RNAcentral is "partial 16S ribosomal RNA". It matches the Rfam family "Bacterial small subunit ribosomal RNA", at positions 28 to 507 of the family's 1533-position model. The record is from RNAcentral.